RNAcentral lists this ribosomal RNA (432 nucleotides) under uncultured bacterium. RNAcentral describes it as "partial 16S ribosomal RNA". It matches the Rfam family "Bacterial small subunit ribosomal RNA", at positions 29 to 506 of the family's 1533-position model. The record is from RNAcentral.
AACGAACGCUGGCGGCAGGCCUAACACAUGCAAGUCGAGCGAGGACUUCGGUUCUAGCGGCGGACGGGUGAGUAACGCGUGGGAAUGUGCCCUUCUCUACGGAAUAGCCCUGGGAAACUGGGAGUAAUACCGUAUACGCCCUUUUGGGGAAAGAUUUAUCGGAGAAGGAUCAGCCCGCGUUGGAUUAGGUAGUUGGUGGGGUAAUGGCCUACCAAGCCGACGAUCCAUAGCUGGUUUGAGAGGAUGAUCAGCCACACUGGGACUGAGACACGGCCCAGACUCCUACGGGAGGCAGCAGUGGGGAAUCUGAGACAAUGGGGGCAACCCUGAUCUAGCCAUGCCGCGUGAGUGAUGAAGGCCUUAGGGUUGUAAAGCUCUUUCAGCUGGGAAGAUAAUGACGGUACCAGCAGAAGAAGCCCCGGCUAACUCCGU